RNAcentral lists this non-coding RNA (1164 nucleotides) under Pongo abelii (Sumatran orangutan). Lineage: Eukaryota; Metazoa; Chordata; Mammalia; Primates; Hominidae. The record is from RNAcentral.
GCCCAGGCCAGAAUCUCAGAGAAGACCACAGGUCCCCGGUACACUUUGAUGGGGAAGCCUCCGCGUGGGAUCCCUGGGCCCUGAACACCCUCCUUUCUCACUGUGCCUCCCUCCCCUGCGAAGGGCGUCCUCAGCUGCUUCUGAAACCUGGGGGGCUGUGGUGGGAAACAGCCCGGACAGGCUGUUCUCAACACUCUCUACUGCAAACCACACACAGUUUUACGUCGCCAGGAAGACCCCACAUUUCUAUUCAAAAAGACGGUACCAGUUUCAGUUCCCGCCAACCUCGAAGGCAGAGACAAAAGGACGGUGCGCCCCUCCUGUAACUUCAUUUCUUCGAUGACUGCGAAGCCGAGGGCAGAGUCCACACCUGGGGACAGGGCUGCCACCGCAGCGGCCACCGCGUCCAACCCUCGCUCCUCCUCCCAGAGACAACCUGCGCUCUGCUCAGAAGCAGCACCUCCUCAUGCUGGACUCACUCGGGCCCACGGCCAAGGGGGCCUGGUUUUGGGGCCGGCGGGUUCUGCCUGAUGCUCAGAGGGUAACUAGAUGCUGAAAACUGUGAGUCUUUCUUCAACUCAGGGGAAUGUUUCCAGGGCAGGCCAGGCCUCAUUCACACAGGCCUCCGCGACAACUGUUCAGCACUGACUGAGGGUGAAGUGAAAUACUGAAAGCUGAGAGCCAGCGCCCUCACACGAAGGCUGGGACGGAACAAAAGCCCAGCAAGAGUCUUGCCCAGGCCUUUCCUGGGCCUUGAAGCAUGACGAGACCACCAAGGAAUUCUGAACAGGACCCGUUUAGGAUUAAUCAAGUUUUACUGGGGAUCUGAAAAAACUCCCCAGGCCUCCACAAACAAGUGGAGAAGGAACUCCCCAAACCUCCAUGAUUUAGCAGAAGACAAGAUAAGGGUAAACACCUGGGCCCAUUUAGAUCAAGUAAAUUUACUGAGGCUCCAGAAGAAGAUCUUCAGGACUCAGACCUCAGAGAUUAGAAGAAUUUAAUCAUGGACGUCUUUAGAUGAAUGCACACUUACACGUAGACAUAGAGCUUAGAAGGUGUGUAAGCUCUGGAAAAACUCUGUAAUCUGGAGUUGGUCUGGCGAUCAUUUCCAGGCCUUCUCGCUGUAACUAGUUACAGAAAUAAAACCUCUCUUCUUCCCCAGUU